Molecule: long non-coding RNA, 8876 nt
Organism: Gorilla gorilla gorilla (western lowland gorilla)
Lineage: Eukaryota; Metazoa; Chordata; Mammalia; Primates; Hominidae
Exons: 4
Source: RefSeq, a predicted model, not a curated record
GAUCUGUAAUGAAUGCAGGAGAGACUCUCAGGUUGACACCACCCCUCACCUCUACCCAGGUAUGUCUAGGCCCCUCACUGCAGGGCUACAUGCUUGCUAGGAUUGGGGGUGGUAUUGGGUAAGACAUGCUGCUGUGGAUGGGACUCGCUGCUGGGUGAUGCCUUGACCCUGCAAUAAUACCUACUCAUGCACAGAGUACCUUGCCCCUCCUGUCUGAAAUUCCACCAUCACUGUUGCAUGUUUAAGAGCUAAGAGUUUUUCCUCUUUUUUCCAUGCUGGAUAUGUAGCCUACAUCAAAUAUUAGGGAAGCUGGUGGCAAAAUAAUAAGAACAAACACAUUUUUCGUACGAACAAACUCUUUAUCUCAUAAAGAUUCUGGAAGGUUGGCAGGGCAUUGACUUUAACUUCAGGAUACAAUUUGACACUUCAUCUUCCUCAACACAAACCUCUACACACUUCUGAUGGCUCUUUCACUGAGGCCACUCCUGGGCACUUAUCUGGGGAUGGACAGGGGGAAAGGAGGACCCACACAUCUAAGGGAUAAGUAGAGCCAGUGUUAAGAGAGACCUCAUGGCUGUCUGGGACACAGAGAAUGCCCUGUGAAGCCAGCCUGCAAGUGGUGGCUUAUUGGCCAAGCCAGCCUCUGAAGGGCAAAAAAUAUACAAGCUUUGUUGAGCAGACUGCCUGGAAAAGCUGGACCAUCUUGGCGAGAGUAUUUGCAAUGGAAGAGUAUCAGGGACAUCAGGAUCGAAGGGGUCAGGAGUCUGGCAGUGGCCGAUCAGACCCCUGGACACACUGAAAGGUAUUGGGUCAGAUGUAGGAUCCAAUGAAGGUAAUGAAGUCCAAGGGCUGGAAGAGGGAGGGCACUUCAGUUUAGCUUCCUCUGCAGCCUUACUGGAUAGCACUAGAUUUCCACUGAGCAACUAACUUCUUUCAUUUUUAUUCAUUCAACCAACAAAUAUUUACUGAAUACCUACCAUGUCCCAGGCACUUUGUUAGGAAUGAGCAAAACAGACACAAUUUCUGCCCUCAGAGAGCACUGUCUAGUGGGAAACAAGCAUUGGAGAAACAGUAACACAGGAGAAUAGAUUUACAAUGUGAUAAGUGUCACAAGAGAGGUGCAUGAAGUACCAGGGUCAUCUGACCUAGUCAGAGAGGUAAAAGGUGUCUCUGAGGUCUGAAGGAGGGGGGGAGGUAAUUAGCGAAUGCAGUGAGGCAUGGAGUGUGUGGUAGAGAAACCUCUGUAUUAACCAAAACCAUUUCUCUACCUCUAGCACAUGGAUUUUAUCUCCUAGCCUCCCAGGCAGCUACAUGUGGUCACAUGACCCAGUUCUAGCCAAUGCAACUUGGGCAGAAGUGGUAAAUGCUACUUCUAUGCACAGUCUGCACCCUCCUGUACCUCCUCUACUUUCUUCCCUUUACCACAGUCCCCCUGCUUGACCAUCUAACAGGAUACAUAGGAUCCAGUUGAGUAGUGUUAAGACCCUAUGAGAUGACAGAACAUAGCCAGAGGGCAUCUGGGUCUCUCAGUGAUCAUGUGGAAGGCCCACCUGCCAACCAGGAAUAUCCAAGAUGGACUUUGUAAAAGCAAGAAAUACACUUUUAUUGUGUUAAGUGAUUAAGAUGUUUAAGUUUGUUGCAGUAGCUAGUCUUACUUUAAUGCAGAGAGGAAGUGUCCUAUACAAAGAGAAAAAUGUGUGAAAGGCCUCAUAGCCUGCUGGAAGAGUUUAAAGAAGGCUAGUGUGACUAAAAGCAGAGAGAAAGAGGGCACCUGGUGCAAAAUGGGGCUGGAAAUGCAAGUAGGGGCCAAACAAAAGGUGGUUUAAGAUUUGGGUCCUUGGUGAACUCAUUAGAUGGAUUUUAGAAAUACGAGGACCUAAAUUUGACAAGACUUGGUGAUGAUGUAGAUAUUGGGGGGGGCGGAGGAUGGGGAGGUACAAAAGAGAGAAGUAUCAAAGGUGACAACUGGUUUUUGCCUUGAGUAACUGGAUGGAAGAUGAAGCUAUUCACUAAGGGAACAAUGAAAGAACAUACAAUUUGAAGAAAAAAUUUAUCAAUUUGCUUUGGGUAUGUGUAUGCUGGCGGUACCUUUGAGGCCUCCAGGUAGAAAUGUCAAAUAGGCAGUUGGAUACACUGGUCUGGAAUACAGAAGAGAGGUGGUCUGCAUUAGAGUUAGAAAUUUUUGAGUCACUGUUCAUGGGCCAGUGGCUAUCUGAAGUCAUCCCUAGGGAGACAGUAGGGAGUGAGAGGAAGGAAACUAGGAGUAGGCCUUGAGGGACUUUAACAUUUGAUCUUCUAGACCAGGGAUCAGCAAACCUUUUCUGUCAAAGACCAUAUAAUAAGUGUUUUAGGCAUUGCAGACCAUAUGGUUUCUGUUGCAGCUAUUCAAUUUUACUACUGUUGUACAAAAUCAGCCAUAGACAAUUCAUAAAUAGGUAUGGUGGCUUUUUUCCAAUACAAUUUUAUUUAUGGACCCUGAAAUCUGAAUUUCAUAUAAUUUUAACAUGUCAUGAAAUUUUAUCCUUGUUUUGAUUUUUUUCAAUCAUUAAAAAAUGUAAACACCACUCUUAGCAAACAGGCUGUACCAAAACCAGGAUUGGGCCCAUGGCCCAAAUCUGGCCCAUGAUCCAUUUACUAAAAUUUCAUUAGAAUACUACCUUUCUCUGGCUGGGCGCGGUGGCUCAGGCCUAUAAUCCCAACACUUCGGGAGGCCGAGGCAAGUGGAUCACAAGGUCAGGAGUUUGAGACCAGCCUGGCCAAUAUGGUGAAACCCCGUCUCUACUAAAAAAAAAAAAAAUACAAAACAACAACAACAAAACCCCACAAAAAUCAGCUGGGUGUGCUGGCGGGUGCCUGUAAUCCCAGCUCCUUGGGAGGCUGAGGCAGAAGAAUCACUUGAACCCAGGAGGUGGAGAUUGCAGUGAGCCAAGAUCAUGACACUGCACUCCAGCCUGGGCAACAGAGUGAGACUCUGUCUCAAAAAAAAAGAAAAAAGAAAAAAAAAUACUACCUUUCUCAUUUGUUGCCAUAUUGCCUUUUGUCCCACAAGGGCAGAGUUAAGUAGUUGCAACAGAGUAAAAUAUAAAAUUCUGCUGCCAUUAUCUAGACUUCAGAGAUAGAGGAUGAACCUAAAAAGGUGCCCAAUAUGUUUUGAUAAAUGACUAUAAUGGUGGUCAAAGUGGGUGUAGAGUCUCGUGUGUGCAAAUCAAGGGGUCAAGAGACAAUCACUAAAGAAUGGGAGAUGCAGAAUUUAAUCUUGUCAGGAUGCAAAAUUACAUUCACCCAAACCAGGUGAUUAAAAAGUUGAAGAAAAUUACAAUUAAAAAUUGAUAAAAAAUUGAAUGAUACUCAGGUCUUGUGUGUUGUAUUUUCUGUGAAAUUAAGGCCAGCUGAAAGGUAUGGGCUUAGGAUUCUGGCUGACACAGCAAGCGGAAAUCUGGCCAUGGGGCUAGCCUGUUCUCUCUCGGGUGAGCUGAAUGUUCUGGAGAUGCAUUCAGGUUCCAAUGAUAACUUUAAAUUUCUUCUCAAUCUCAUUGGAUUAAGGAGAGUGUAACAAUCUGUCACAUUUAGGAACUAAGUAUUAAAGACCAAGUGAAAAUGAUUAUUUUACUUCUGACACAACAAUUUCUAGUGAAUAUUCUGAGUAAUUUUCUGAUGAAUAGUCUAGAUGUAUAAGUUCUGUUUAAAGGCAGAAUUUAUUUUGAAGUUUGUAACUUUAAUAAAUUGAAUAUUAAUUUCAACACAGCUGUAUUAUUUGACAUGAUUAAAACAUCAUUCAUGGGGUCGGGCGUGGUGGCUCACGCCUGUAAUCCUAGCACUUUGGGAGGCUGAGGCAGGUGGAUCACGAGGUCAGGAGUUCAAGACCAGCCUGGCCAAUAUGGUGAAACCCUGUCUCUGAUAAAAAACAAAAAUUAGCCAGGCGUGGUAGCGGGUGCCUGUAAUUCCAGCUACUUGGGAGGCUGAGGCAGGAGAAUUGCUUGAACCCGGGAGGCGGAGGCUGCAGUGAGCCAAGAUCGCACCACUGCACCAGCCUGGGCCACAGAGCGAAACUCCAUCUGAACAACAACAACAACAACAACAACAACAAAAAUCAUUCAUUCAUCUAACAAACUUAUUGAGCACCUAUCAUGUAUCAGGUAAUAUUCUAGAUAAUGAGCAUAUAAGAUGUAAGCAAAACAAAGUCCUAGUGCUAAAAAACAAAAGCACAUUCUGGUAAUAGAUAUGUGACAAUAGACAAAAAGAUAUAAUAUGUUAGGUGGUAACUAUCAUAAAGUAAAAUACCAUUUAAAAACUCAGGUGCAAACAUAGAAAAAUGGAAAGAGUGCUACUCCAACCUUAAGAAAACUACUGAAUAAUCUAUAAAAUCAUAACUUUUCUUGAGUCCAAUAGAGAGUUAACAUCCCAGGACAAUCAUGUGGCCUGAAAUCUAAGGAAAUACUGGCACCUCCAAGGAGAGAUGGGACACAGACACUGGCCUGCCUGUGGCAGAAUGUGACAGAUGCAAGUGCCACACAAGCACUUAAGAAGAAAUCAGGUGAUAAGUUGCAAAAGGGCAGAGAGGCCAAGUCUCUUUCCACAGCUGUAUAUCUACUGCCUACCACAGAGCCUGGCACAUGGUAAGUGCUAAAUAAAUAUCUGUGACUGAAGAGAUUGACUCCUGCCUUGGCCUGAACUCCUUCCACUUUCCCCACCCUGAGAAUUCCUGAGCCCAUGUACCUGUAAUGCAGGGAAUUGAAUGGAGGGUUGGUUUUUAGGCCAGAGCAACUUGCAUCCCACCUUCCCAUCUGUGCCCCUGAGUAAACAGGAGAGGAGCAGAAAGUCACCUUGUUGUAGGCCAGGCUAAGGUAUCUCAGCUCUGGGAAGGGUGGGGCCAGCGUCUGGUUCCUGGCCUUCAGUGACUUCACAGGAAGGAUCUCGAAUAUGGGAGGAAGUGAACAUAUCUUGGUUGUCUUAGAAAGAAGGAAAAGUCAAAAUCAAAGUGCCCGAUAAUAAGGCCACUAAGGGCCAACAGACCCUUUCAAUGGAACAGGGUGGAAUGAAUGACCUUCCUAGAGAGACUUGGCCAAAAGAGACAUGUAGGGUCAUAAGGGUAGAUGUCGCCAUCAGCCCAGAAUUCUGGCUCCAAGUUCUCUUAGGAGAAUUAGCUUACAUGAUGAGCUAAUUCUCAAGCACCCAAAGUUCCAUUUUCAAGUUUUCUGAGGCCACAGGAUAAUAUAGCACUGGUGCAGACAUCAGAGGUACUUGGUCCCCACCCCCUCCCUCUGCCCUACAGCAGCUUACCCUGAAUUGGCCCUUCUACACAGUUGGGCUAAAAUUUCUCCAGAAGGCAAAGGGGAAGGUGCUUGUGUUCUUAAGGGGAAUUUUUCUAGUGAGGAGAGGGAGAGGGAGGUGUCUUGAGCCUUGAACACCUGCUCUGAUGGGCUAGCCCACAUCCUCGAGUGGAGGGUCUUCAUUUGAGGAUGAAACAACAGUCCUAAACGACUUCAGCCUGCCCGUGGGAGCCGAAUGUGGCAUGCUGCAUCUGGAUCCCUUGCAGGGUCAUGUUCUUUUCAUACAACCCAGACUGCCACAGGUUCAACAUAUUUGAUCAAGCAGAAAAAGGUAAUUGUUGGUUUAACUAUACAUAACUCAGUACACUCACUGAUUCCUGAGUUCGAUGGGACCACAGGAUAUUAUAAGGGUAGAUGCUGGGCUAAUGGUUAGGUUCAGAUGAACUAGAUUCCAUCUUAAGCUGAAUUAAUUAAUCACUAUGGAAUCUUGAGCAAGUCACUUAAAUUUUGCUUGUUCAUUCAGUGAACAUUUUUGGGGCACUUACUUUGAGCCAAGUAUUUUGUACCCUUCUGGGUCAACUUGUAAAACCACACAAGUGGACAGGUCAGUCAUGGGUGAGAAUAAAACAAAAACCAGCGACUGUGUUUGGGAACUCAGAUGACUCGCCUCUCCCAGUGAUCCCAAGGCAAUCUCUGAGACGCAAGAGUGGAACAUGGUGGCGGUCUGAUAAGGCAGUAUCCUCCACUAUGUAAUUCCCUACUUGGAGCAAGGCUGUGUGAACUGAAGGGGGUAAGUCAUACUGCAGUACAGAAAAGGAAAAGCCAGAGAGUCAAGAUGAGGAGUAUCCUGACCCAAGGGCAUAACUGGCCCUGAUGGGGGCAGAGAGGGCCCUGUCUUGGAGGGAAAUGCAUCUGAUUUUAAUAGAGAAAGGCCACUAAAAGUCUCAACUAUCCAACUCACUUUCUAGAUUUUCAGAUGUCAGAGAGCUGAUCUGAGCACUGAGCAAUCCUACAAAUUAUCUCUGACUUGUGUGGUAGACUGUUUAAUGGCCACAAGCCCCUCCAUCCCACAUACAUGCCCUUUUGCAGUGUGACCUUGCUGCUCCUCCCAUUCAGAGGUGGAGACCAUGUGUCUACCCUCCUGAAAUUAGACUGGCUGUUACAUAAGAAAAAAUUUGUCUGGUCUUUGUCUCAGGUUCCUGGCACUGAGCUUCUAAAACCCUUGGAAUUUUCUGAGUGAUAGGAAUAUCUUUAUUAUGCAGGACCCCUUGAGUCACACCUGAGUUUAGGAUAAUGACAUGACUCAGGAUGGAGGCUGGCCAUGCCAGAAAGACUAACCAUGUGACUAGAGAGUUGGGGCUUUGCACCAGCAUGACCCCUGGGGAGGAUAAGGAACUAGAAAUUAAGUUCAAUCAGGUGGCCAAUGAGCCUCCAAUAAAAGCUCUGGACUCUGAGGUGUGGGUGAGCUUCCUGGUUGGUGAGCACAUCAAUGUGCUGGGAGGGAGACCUGCCCUGAUUCCACAGGGAGGGGGCAUGAAAGCUCUCAGACCUCACCUUAUAUGCCUUUUCAUUUGGCUGGUCCUGAUUCGUGUCAUUUAUAGCUGGGGUCCCCAACCCUCAAGCCACAAACCGGUGCCAGUCCCUGGCUUGUUGGGAACUGGGCCACACAGCAGGAAGUGAGCAGUGGGUGAGUGAGCGAAACAUCAUCUGUAUUUACAGCCACUCCCCGUUGCUCAAAUUACUGCCUGAGCUGCACCUCCUGUCGGAUCAGCAGUGGCAUUAGAUUCUCAUAGGAGCACAAACCCUAUUGUGAACUGGGCAUGCAAGGGAUCUAGGUUGUGUGCUCGUUUUGAGAAUCUAAUGCCUGAUGGUCUGUCACUGUCUUCCAUCACCCCAAGAUGGGACCAUCUAAUUGCACAAAAACAAGCUCAAGGCUCCCACUGAUUCUACACUGUGGUGAGUCGUAUAAUUAUUUCAUUAUAUAUUACAAUGUAAUAAUAACAAAUAAAGUACAUAAUAAAUGUAAUGCACUUUCAUCAUCCGAAACCACCCACCCCACCCCAGUCCAUGGAAAAAUUGUCUUCCACAAAACUGGUCCCUGGAGCCAAAAAGGUUGGGGACUGCUGUAUUAUAGUAAAACUGUGAUUGUAAGUAUAACCCUUUCCUGAGUUUGAGUUGUUCUAGAAAAUUACUGAACCUGAGUGGGUUGUGGAAACUCUUGAAUUUAUCACCAGUUGGUCAAAGUGUGAUAGCCUGGGGACUCCCAAACUUGUGGCUGGCCUCUGAAGUGAGGGAAAUCUUUUUGGGAACUACCCUCACUUGUGGGCUUUGUGCUUAACUUGUGGGGUCUGCACAAACUGAGGGGUCAGCGUCAGAAUAGUACAGCAGUAUAAUACGGGGCUUUUGACUUGCUUUGACCAAUAGAAUAUGGAGAAGUGACACUAUUUCAAUUUCAGAACUUUUCAAUUCACCCUUGCUCUCUUGAAACCCUGAUGCUGUAAUGAAACCAUACUGCAGUGUAGCCCAGGAGGAAAAGACCACAAAGAGAGAAGAUGCCAAGCCAUGCCAGCUGUGUACCUGAGCCCAGCCUGCAGCUACCCUGCCAGCUAAAUGCAGCUGUGUAAGUGAGCCUUGGUGAAGCCAGUGGAAUCACUUCGUCGACUCAAUUGUCCUUGAUUUCCUCAGCCAUGAGAUAACAAACCUCGGGUAUCACCCCCAACAAUGAGGCCACUUCAUUGUGGGGCCCAUCUGGGAUCCAAGGUAGAUUCAUCAGAAGGGAAUAGAAAGGAUCUCCCUUUCCCCGGCAGUGAGCAUCUCUCUCUCCCCACUUGGUCUGGAGAUCACAUGGCAUUUCAAGGUCUACAGCACCACCUAGUGGAAUAGAAAUCCUCUCCAUGAGGUACCUUGUCAGCCCUUUGCCUAAACACUCUAGUUUUCCAAUUCUCCUCCCCUUUUGUACUCCUCUACUAGAGGCCAGGCUUUAUGCUCCUUCUGUGAAUGGGAAAACUCAACAAUGAGGAGGAAAAUGUCCUCCAAAACCAAAUUUUAGUUUUGAUAUUGUCCCAUCAGCAGGAAAACCACCAUUCAGUUCCUACAUUCUUUUAAGGCACCUAUUCUGCCUCUCAUUAAAAUGGUACUUAAAUAGUAAGGGGACGUAAUGUCUUAAAGUUAACCAGAACCACUGCCUAACAAUAAAUAUUUUAGUCCAGGCCAUAAUAGCAAUAUAGAGCUCAACCCAGUACACUCUCUCCAUUAAGGGGCCUUGCAAAUACAACUGUUACAUAGUCUUUCCCAAGAGCCAUCUAUCAGGUAGCCACAUAGAUCACAGAAGUUAGGAAGUCAAAGGGAAAUCACCAGUGGAGGAUUAGAGUUGCAUGGGUGAGUGUGACUAAAUCCAUCCCUUAGCUUCUCUAGAUGCAUGCCUGAGGGACAUGCCUGCAUCCAAGAGUAGCACCUUUUAACAGAUGCCGAGGCUCAGGGAACCAAGAAGGGAAAACAGUUGGGGGAUGCUCCCAUUGUCUUCCUGUCUACCUUGGGCCAUUCUAAAGGAAGGAGGGGAAUAAGGGACUCCUUGUCUCCCCUAGCUUUCUAGCCAUCUUUAGCCUG